CAGUCGCCGCGGUAAUACGAAGGGUGCAAGCGUUAAUCGGAAUUACUGGGCGUAAAGCGUGCGUAGGCGGUUUGUUAAGUCUGCUGUGAAAUCCCCGGGCUCAACCUGGGAAUGGCAGUGGAUACUGGCAAGCUAGAGUGUGUCAGAGGAUGGUGGAAUUCCCGGUGUAGCGGUGAAAUGCGUAGAGAUCGGGAGGAACAUUAGUGGCGAAGGCGGCCAUCUGGGACAACACUGACGCUGAGGCACGAAAGCGUGGGGAGCAAACAGGAUUAGAUACCCCCGUAGUCCCUGUCUCUUAUAC
This 301-nucleotide ribosomal RNA is filed under the name uncultured bacterium. Its description in RNAcentral is "partial 16S ribosomal RNA". It matches the Rfam family "Bacterial small subunit ribosomal RNA", at positions 509 to 807 of the family's 1533-position model. The record is from RNAcentral.